Molecule: ribosomal RNA, 164 nt
Filed under: Humbertacalia sp. 1521
Lineage: Eukaryota; Viridiplantae; Streptophyta; Magnoliopsida; Asterales; Asteraceae
Description: 5.8S ribosomal RNA
Rfam family: 5.8S ribosomal RNA
About the family: 5.8S ribosomal RNA (5.8S rRNA) is a component of the large subunit of the eukaryotic ribosome. It is transcribed by RNA polymerase I as part of the 45S precursor that also contains 18S and 28S rRNA. Functionally, it is thought that 5.8S rRNA may be involved in ribosome translocation.
Source: RNAcentral
CAAACGACUCUCGGCAACGGAUAUCUCGGCUCACGCAUCGAUGAAGAACGUAGCAAAAUGCGAUACUUGGUGUGAAUUGCAGAAUCCCGUGAACCAUCGAGUUUUUGAACGCAAGUUGCGCCCGAAGCCUUUCGGCCAAGGGCACGUCUGCCUGGGCGUCACAC